GCCCCUCCAUUCAGCUCUCCGCGACCGGGCAGGCAAGAGGAAGCGAGCGCGAACGGACCUCCCGGGUGUGCGCGCGCGUGUGUAUGAGUGUGCGUUCGCGUGCGUUCCUAUCUCACCUGGAUAUAUCACGUGACCAGACACCUGGGCGUGGGGUUGGCGUGCGAUCAGUUAUUUUGUAGCGGGAAUACCGGAACAGUACGUCCGCGUGUGUUCGCGCUGACAUGUGAACUUUCCUCGCACCGACACCGGGAAUUUAUUGCACGGAUUGCGAACAAGAGUCCGAUAUCUGACAAGUGAGAAGCCAAAGGCGACUGUGACAAGAUAAAAACCUCCAUAAGAUGUUAACUGUAGAUGACGGUGGAGAAGAACCUUGAGAGGAACCAGAAACAGAUCGUGGAGCCCUGAUCAUUGACUGAUUAACACCCC
Misgurnus anguillicaudatus (oriental weatherfish) is the source of this 426-nucleotide non-coding RNA. NCBI's taxonomy places the organism in Eukaryota, Metazoa, Chordata, Actinopteri, Cypriniformes, Cobitidae. The record is from RefSeq and is a predicted model, not a curated record.